RNAcentral lists this small nuclear RNA (104 nucleotides) under Canis lupus dingo (dingo). Lineage: Eukaryota; Metazoa; Chordata; Mammalia; Carnivora; Canidae. The record is from RNAcentral.
GUGCUUGCUUCAGCAGCAUAUAUACUAAAAUUGGAAUGAUACAGAGAUUAGCAAGGCCCUUGUACAAGAAUGACAUGUAAAUUCAUGAAACGUUCCAUAUUUUA